This 12210-nucleotide long non-coding RNA is filed under the name Brassica napus (rape). RNAcentral's name for it is "long non-coding RNA (BNAP_LNC022461)". Lineage: Eukaryota; Viridiplantae; Streptophyta; Magnoliopsida; Brassicales; Brassicaceae. The record is from RNAcentral.
UCGAAUCCAAAGACAUGGGUCGUGAUCGGCGUGACUGUAGCCGGGAUCGUGAUCUUGGCGGAGACUCGGAAGCGCCGGAUCAAAGCCCUCAGAGAAGAGCACUUCGGUGCCUUUUUAGAUCGUUUCGAGCUUCUUCCUUUUCCUCCGCCUCCUCCUCCAGCCGCUAAACAAACCCUCUCCGGUCUCACCUUCUCCAUCUCCGACGCGUAUGUCCCCUCUCUCGAAAGUUCUUACCUUUUUUUUUAAUUAUUAUUUACAACGAUCUAGCUUGAAAGUUUUGAUUUUUAUUUCAGUAGAAAAAAGGUUUGAUUUUUAUUUAAGCAAAAAGAAAGUUUUGAUUUUUAUGGUUUAGUUGAAUGUUUUGACUUUGCUUUAGACGAUGAAUGAGGAUUAUUUGGUUUUGGGCAGGUUUGAUAUAAAGGAUUAUAUCACAGGCUUUGGUAGUCCACAUUGGAAGAAGACUCAUGAGGCUGCUGAGAAAACUGCUGUGGUUGUGACUACGCUCUUGAGAAAUGGAGCUACUUGUGUUGCUAAGACUGUCAUGGAUGAGAUGGGUUUUGGGUAUUUCUCCAUCCCCAUCUUUCUUCCCAUCAAAUGAGUGUUCUGUGAUUGAUUUGUAGUUGGUUUUUGCAGGAUAACUGGUGAGAACAAGCACUAUGGCACUCCUAUUAAUCCGUUGAUGCCGUCUAAUGUUCCUGGAGGCUGUUCCAGUGGCUCUGCAGUUUCUGUUGCGGCUGAACUCGUUGACUUUGCACUUGGUAUUUUGUUAAUCUCUUUUGUUUCCCUAAUUGGAUGUGUACUUUUGGUCUAGUUACCAAUAGUAUUUCUUGGUGGUAGUCUUAAAAUGCUUUUGACUUGCAGGGAUUGAUACCACUGGGGGUGUUAGAAUCCCAGCAUCAUUUUGUGGUGUUCUCGGCUUCCGACCAUCUCAGGGGACUGUUUCUUCAGUUGGAGUUUUGCCUAAUUCCCAGAGCCUAGAGACUGCGGGUAAGUUCCAUUCUUAUGCCCCCUUUCUUUGUCCACUGGAAGUUCUUAGUGUAUUUAUAUUUGUUACUGAUAAUAUUUUCUUCUGAACUGUUCUGUAGGAUGGUUUGCACGUGACCCAUCUGUUCUGUGUCAUGUUGGGCACGCCUUACUUAAUCUGAGUGCAGUAACGCAUAAAAGGCAAAGAUCUUUAAUCUUUGCCGAUGAUUUAUUCGAGCUCUCUGAUGUUCCUAAGCAAAAGUCGGUCCACGUUGUCAGAAAAGCAAUCGAAAAUCUACCUGGCUGUAAGUUUUUGCAAUAAUAUUGCUUCCUUCUCCUUUGCCCUUCUCUAAAUUUCUAUCUAAUGUUUCUUGGUCACCGCCUCGUGCAGAUCAGCCUCCAAAACAUAUGAAUGUUGGUCAGUAUGUAGCUUCAAACGUGCCAAGCCUUGUGGAGUUCUGUGAGAAAUCUGGUACAUCACAGGAUUCAGCAUCAAGUUUGAAGGCUCUUGCAUCUGUAAUGUUAUCAAUACAAAGGUAAUCUAAGAAGAUUGUCUUCUCACAUCAAUACUAUUUUUCCCUCUCUCGUUCCUUUUCAACUUGUGUUAACAUGAAUAAUAGUUUUUUUAUUUAAACCAGGCAUGAGUUCAAAACAAACCAUGAAGAAUGGUCGCAGACAUGCAAGUCGUUUCUAGGCCCACGAUUCUCCAGUGACGUUGUUACAGCUCUGAAGAGUAGAAACGAGAACAUUAAAUCUCUCUACAGGGUUAAAACUGAGACGCGUGCCACCAUUCAAAGCCUUCUAAAGGUAACCUUUUCAGUAAUUUUAAAAUCUCCCAACAUUUUGUCACUGGAAUACAAUAAAUGGAGAGGUUGCAUUGUUAAAGUUCUUCUGUAGUAUCAUUAUGAUAAACGAUGUAUACGGUAUCUUAUUACCAGGAAGAUGGAAUUCUGGUGAUCCCCACAGUUGCUGAUCCUCCUCCGAAGCUUAACACAAAGAACAAGAACGCUGUGAAUGAGUUCCUGGAUCGAAAUUAUGCACUCGCAAGCAUUGCUAGCAUGUCGGGUUGUUGUCAGGUAUAUUCCCAGUUCCUCUUUCUCACUUUCAGUUAUUGGAGAACUGUGUUGAUACUCUUGAUAGUUGAGUAAUAAUACAAAUUUUACCAGGUUACAGUUCCUUUGGGGAAACAUGGUGACAGUCCAAUCUCCGUGUCGUUUCUAGCUUACUAUGGAGGUGAUAAGUUCCUCCUCGAUACAAUUCUCGAUGUAUAUGCAUCCCUUCAGGACCAAGCCGAUAUUGCAGCCAGCUUAGCUCCAGUGACUGACUCCAAUGGUAUUGAACCUUCUGAAGUUAUGAAGGAAAAGGUAAAAAUGUGCUAUCAUUUUAAUUUGAAAAAUAGUGUAUGUGGUUCUGAUCCAUAUUCUACGGUGGAUUAACCUUAAUUCCCAGGGAAAUGCAGCAUACAAGGGGAGACAAUGGAAUAAGGCAGUGAGUUGUUACACUGAAGCUAUCAAAUUGAAUGGAGCAAAUGCUACUUAUUUUUGCAAUAGAGCUGCAGCUUACUUAGAACUUGGCCGGUAAUUUACUGUCUUCGUUCGUUAUCCUUCAUUCUGAUUCGAAAAUAGUUUGUUAUCCCCUUCUGAUCUGAGAUUUUGUGUUAAUAAGCUUCCAACAAGCUGAAGAAGAUUGUACCGAGGCUAUAUUGAUCGAUAAGAAGGUGCCAAACUUGAUUACUUAUUCUUUCUCCAUACUUCAUUCGAUCGCAUAGUUUACCUUUCUAGAUUGCCUUUAGCAUGUCUGUUUGCAAGUACACACUUCAGCAUCAAGACUCUUUCAUUAGAUUUGUGAAAUUUAGAGCUUCUGGCCUCGUUUCUGGUUUAGUUCUUGAUAGAUGUUGUAUUCAGUUUCACCACUUACUCACUAAAGACACAGCCACGUAUGACUUGAAAGAACUUGGGUAAGUUUGAUUCUUAUAGUUAUUUGUUUUUAUACAGAAUGUGAAAGCAUAUUUGAGACGAGGGACUGCUAGAGAAUCACUUAUACGGUACAAGGAAUCUGCUGCAGGUAAAUAAAACUGAUCUCAGACUCUGGCUUUUAUUAGAAUCUCUUCAUUUUUAUCUCCUUCGGUAUCACAUUUGGGAGACUUGUGUUUUGAUCAAUAAUCAAGAAAAGCAACUAUCUAAUCUUAGAAGGAGAAUUAUAGAGACAUUUAACUUAAUUUCAUUGUCACUUAUUAUUUCAAAUUUGCUGUUUAUAUUCCGGAGAGUAACAUAUGGUUUACUAUCUCUGCAGAUUUCAAGCAUGCAUUGGUCCUGGAGCCCCAAAACAAGACGGCAAAGAUUGCUGAGAAGAGACUCCGAAAACUCAUGAGUUAAGAGCGAAGAAGAAAAACAGUAUCUUACUUUUUUUCAAACCCUUCCUUGCUUACCAAGCUAUCUUUCGCUUCUCUACAACCCUAAAAGCAAAGGUUUUGAUUGUUUGGUUCAUGAUUUAAUCUCUUAACAGAUUUUAAUGAUUUAGUCAGCCUUAUCAUUAAAUGGAACGAAGCCCAAACUAUAUUACAAAACAUAAGAUGGGCUCAGGCCCAAUCUCGUACAGUUUAUCUAAUCAAGUUUAAUGAUUAUAUAAGAUAACCAUGCAAAUACACACGUGUACUGACACGCGGACGCAAAAGAUAGAGAGAAGGUUUAGAGGAUGAUUGUUUGUAGUUUUUGAAAUGGUUUUUGGUUUUUGUUUUUUAAAAACUACUUUAUUUUUCAAUCAAGAUUUUGAAGAAAUAGAUUCCCUAGAAAAUAGGAAAACUAGUUUUUGAAAUAACAGUUUAAUUGUAAACAAAAAUCAAAAUCUUACAGCAGUAGUUAACGUUGGUUUUUUUUUUUUUUCUAGAAAUUUAAAAUUUUAGUGGCAACUCUUUUGUUCUUAUUGCAUGGUUAUGUAUUUCCAAUUUACGUUCACAAGCAUCAUCUACUCACCAUUAAAAUCCAUAAACUUUAUUAAAUUAAAAUAAUAAAAAAUUCAACGUCCAACAACAAAAGAAAAACAAUAUUUUUAUUUGAUAUAACAUUUUAAAACACAACAAUCUUUUAUAGUUCACAUGCAAUAAUAUAUAUAUAAAUAUAUAUUUUUAGAUUUUCAGUGAUAGCAUAUUUUAAAUCACAUGAUACAAAAUUUUAAAUUGAAAAAUCUUAUUGGUUAAAGAUCAAAAACUUAUUGAAUAAAUUAAUAUUGCAGAUUAAUACAAAAUGGCACAUGAGUUUAGUUAUAAUUAUAAAAUUAAUUAGAUAUUGUAAAAGUUGUUUUAGUUAAAAUGAAAUAAAAUUUAAUUUUCAAAUAAACACGAAAUUAACUAAAUAUUGAAAAGUUUUCUUUAAGUGAAAAUAAAAUAUACAUUUAUUUUAAAUAAACACGAAAUGACUUAAAUAUUGAAAAAGUUUAUUUUAAUGAAAAAUUAAAUAUAUAUGUAUAUUGUAAAUAAAAAGAUAUGAAUUUUUUUAUCCAGAUAUAAUUUCAGAGUAAAGAUUAGAAUAUUUAUUUGAUUUGGUUGUUUUAGAAUAAUUCAAAUAAUUUAAAUAUUUAUACAAAGUUAAUUGAAUCAACUUUUUAAAAGGUAAUCAAAAUUAAAAAAAAAAUCACAUAUUAAUUAAGUCAUGACUUAAUAGAAUAGAUAUUUUAAAUUUUAUUAUUUAUUUUUCAAUAAUAACUAUUUUACUAUUUAUUAUUUUAAAAAAAACCAUAAACCAAAAAACAAAAUCUAAAACUGCCAAUCAAGUUUUUCAAAAAACCAAAAUCUACUGCAAAAUCAAAAACAAAAAAACUAAAAACCAAAAACUAGAAACCAAAAACCAAAAACUAAAAACCAAAAACCAAAAUCUAAAAUCUAACAAAACAAUCAUCACCUUAGUCGGACAAUAAAUGAAACCAGCUUUUGUUCUGUUUCAUUUUGUAAAAAAGAAACAAUUAAAAAAAAAUGGUUGAUUAUUUGAGAUUGUUGCGAUGCUUCAGCUUCACGGCAUCGCGUGAUUGGUUAUUCCGGCAAUCAUUCGCAAACGCUGGUCUCCGCUCCGUCACCACCGAUCUCUCCCACGGCGAUUCCAUCGCAUCCACAACGUCUAUGCAUUGCUGGAUCCCUAAAUCCCCUAACCGAUCCAAACCCAACCUCCUCCUCGUACACGGAUUCGGAGCCAACGCAAUGUGGCAAUACGGCGAACACCCCCGAUCCUUCACCGGCCGGUACAACGUCUACGUCCCCGAUCUCCUCUUCUUCGGACUCUCCUCCACUUCCGAACCGAACAGGACCGAGUCUUUCCAGGCUCGAUGCCUGAUGAGACUAAUGGAAGCGCACGGAGUCCAUACCAUGAACAUCGUCGGGAUAAGCUACGGUGGAUUCGUCGGGUACAGUUUAGCGGCGCAGUUUCCGGAGAAAGUGGAGAAGCUGGUGCUAUGCUGCGCCGGGGUUUGCCUUGAGGAGAAAGAUAUGGAGGAUGGUUUGUUCAAGGUUCCGAAUCUAGAAGAAGCCACCGAGAUCUUGAUUCCUCAGACGCCUGAGAAGCUUAAGGAGCUUAUUAGAUUCUCUUUCGUUAAGCCGAUCAAAGGCGUUCCUUCGUUUUUUCUAUGGGACUUUAUCGAUGUGAUGUGUACGGAGUUUGUGGAGGAGAAGAGAGAUUUGAUCAAGUCGAUACUCAAAGAAAGGAGACUUUCAGAUCUUCCUAGGAUCAAACAGGUGAGAAACUACACUUCUUUAGCUUUUCUUUUCCAUACAUUUCAUUUAGUAUAAAGCUGUGUUCUUGUUUUUGGUUUAAAUUAGAAAACUUUGAUCAUAUGGGGAGAAGAAGAUCAAAUAUUUCCACUAGAACUUGGUUACAGAUUGAAAAGGUAAACAACCCUUGGAUUAUUGUUCUUUUCAGUGAAACAGCCAUGUAUAUUUACCAAUAUUAUAUCAAGAAAAAAAAACUAUUAUGGAACAGAUAUAUAGGAGAUAAUGCAGAGAUGGUGGUGAUUAAAAAGGCAGGACAUGCUGUUAAUUUGGAGAAAUCCAAAGAGUUUCUCAAGCACUUGAAAUCUUUUCUCAUCGACUCUUUGUGAACUAGUUGUUCUGUUUAUCUGGAACUGUUCUGUUCUGGUAUCCGAUUCCUACAAGAAAAGAAAUGAAAAGUGGGUUUCGGUGAGCUAUUAUGAUUUUAGGCGCCAAUAAAAAAACAGAUCAACCGAUAAUUCGCUGCCUAAAAUUCUUCUUAAUGGGCUGCAUCUGUGAAAAGAUGAGCUUUGAGGAAAAUAAGAUAACGGACAUAUCUGAGAAGAGAGUUUACCCGUAUCAGUAGAUUGCACUUUUAAAAAAAAUUAGUUUGGGUUUUUCCGUAAGUUUUCUCUGUGGCACAAUGGCCUAGUAGUUCCUCUUAAUAGAGGCAGUUGCAGAGUUCGGUUUGAAUAUCUCUAGGUUAGCUAAAAAAAAGUUAAUUAACAAUACAAAUAAAUGUGAAAUUAUUCGAUUUGGGUUUGUUUUUUUUUAAUGCUGGAUAUAUUAUGAUAUUACAAACUCUGAGAAAUAUUACGGACGAUUUUGCGGCCGACAAUUCUACCUGCUUUAUAAAGAUUCACGUUUAACUGCAUCACAUAAAACGCCGUCCUAUCGGAUAUUUGACAGUACUCUUUGCUCUUUGUUACAAAUUUCUUGUACGUUGUUUCUCCAUUAAUUCACAUAAUUCAAUUUUCUUAUUUGGGUUUGUUUGGGAUGGAGAAAAAUAUAUGGCUGAAGUGAAAAUCCGAUUUUGGUAAAUCCAAACCAAAAUCAUUUUUCUUUGUUUUCACCAUACUUCAGUUUUAUCUGGCUCACAUUUCGAGGAUCGCUGGAUUUGCACAAGAUGUGUAGCUCGAAUUAUACUGGGAAGAUUCCAAAAACGUUGACUCUUAUACAUGACAAGAUAAUUGGGACCAAUAUGUGGAUUGUUAAGUCAACAUGAGAAGCGGGUCGGUCGGUCGGCGGCAAAAUCAGACCAACGUACCACACAAGAUUAUUAACUGAUUAAUAAACCCAACUUAUCCUAAGAUCAUGAUUAAUGGAGAAUUCUUAGGUGAAGUUAUUAGCGGAAUAUAAGCAAUCCUUUAUUAACUUUUAAGAGGCAGUUUCUUAUAUUCCGCUAAAAAUUUCACUAAUCAUGCUCUAAAAGGCUAAUAAUAUACAUAUAUACUAAGUGAAUUGGUAGGAAGCUUUUGUUAAAGAACAUAAGAUUUAAACGAUUCUAUUACUUCACGAAUACCAGGUAAAAUUUUCAUUAAAUUUAAUUUUUGCUUAACUACUCUAUUUAGUGGCACUUCUGAAAGACCUUGACAAGAUUUAAUAUUGUAAUUGUCGAUACCAACGUUUUUCGGCUUAGUCAUCUGUGAUUAAAUUACGUAGUUACGUAAAGAGGAGUUACAUAUUGCCGGUUGUGCGGACUAAUAAGUAAAGAGGAGUUAGUCAUCUUGGCUGGUUGUGCGGACUAAUAAUUGUUUAAUCUUGUGGGGUUUGAUACAAUUGCCGGCACACGUUGAAUACAGACGAAUUCUUUUUUUUUUAUCAAAAAAAAAGACGACUGACACUUGUCACGAAUACAGACGAAUACUAGUAGCGAAUAAUCACAGGACAACAAGAUUCAAUUUAAGACGACUGACCCUUGUUUAUAUCAUUUAUUAUAUAUAAUUUCUUAAUAAUUUGAUUGGACAUAUUACUUUCGCUAGUCUUUUUCAGCAUCGACUGUAGAUAGAAAUGCUCAAUUAUUGUAGCUGUUGAACCAGUGUCGUUGUCACUGAAUAAGAAUGGUGGUCAUUACAAAAUUUGCUCUACGAUGACUUUGAUUUUCUUUUUUUUUGGUAAAACGUUAAAUUUAUUAUACCAAAUUUUUGAUUUUUGACAGAAAUUACAUAGAAACUAGUAGCAGAAUUGCAUAAUUUAAACUAAGCAACAUACAAGUAAAUGAACUCAGGUGAGGCGAGAGCUGAAGUCAAAGCAACGACAGACAACGAGGCAGGCUCAGACCAGGAAGACGGGAAUGGAGCGGGAAGGCCCGACGGUUGCCACAAGCCCGAGAGAAAGGCGCCUUCAAACCUUGGAUGCACGGUGCCUACAGCUUCCUAGAGACCCACCAAACACAAACCAAUCCAAAGAAUCGCAAGCACGGACUGGCUCACCACUAGACACGAACUACAACCGGCGACACGAGAUUGCGACACCAUCCGACGAUGCCGUCGUACGAGAGGAAAACUUGAAGAUUGCCGCCUAAAAAUCCGCCUUCUGUGACCGUAUACACCCUUUUAACCCAAAGUCCAUAUAGAACAGAGAGACCAGAUGGGUACACACCUCCAGAGCAGCUAACAUCGAGCGAGAACACAAGAGCCGAGAGCCCAAUUGGCGUCCUGUCACUAAUAAAAAAAACCACUCAACCCUCAAUAGAGCCAAUGUACCUGCAAGAAGCACAAGGAGGAAAGACAGGGGCGAGGAGCGCCACACCGCCGGUGCACAGGUUCCGAAGUGGAGAGCCAAAGCUAACCACAAGACGCCGCCAGUGAAGACCACCACGAGGAGAGUCGAGACCCAUCCUCAGAAGACUCCACGCCACCCACCAGAGACCACCGAUGGAAAACAAAACCCUAGCACGAGACCGGAGCAGAACAGCUCCAAUCGGACCUCCGAGGGAAGCCCAUCCCCACGACAGUCACACGCCACACUGAAGGAAGAGAGGACACCUCGGAGAGACCACCGGCGUCACACGCGCCACCUAUCCUGAAGAGCCGAGAACGAGAUCUGAAAAUCUCACCGGACAGAGACCGCUAUCGAAAGAGGAGACAAAUGCGACGAGGCGAGCGCCGUCCUCAAGCACCGCACACAGCACCGAGAACCUCCUAGAUCUACGACGGGAGCUCUGGAUCUGAACCAGACGAGGACGACUCGUUAAGCUACCUUCCGCCACAAAGAAAACAGACUACAAAGAGACACAAGGAGAAGCGGAAACACUGGAAGUGAGCCUCCGAAGACUGCAAAGGAGGACGCGGCGGCCGUCGGAGCAAACGAGGUGAUGAAAACGGUGUAGGGUUUCUUAGAGAGAGGCGAGAGAAAAGUUUUGAGAGAGAGGAAACCUUGUGAAUUUUCUUUUCCAUGACUUCGAUAUUUUGUUUGCGUUUGUGUUUAGUUUAGCGUUUGCAACUAAGUUAAUGAAACAACCAUUUUUACGGCUUUAACUGAAAUUACUUUAUACGUUGUUGCGAGUUGUGACAAUCGAAAAAACUUUCCUUGCCUCCGGUCUUUUUUCUAUAUCUUUUGUAAGAACAAAUAUAUAUUAUAAGUACCUGAAAUCUCUACUACUUAUGUGAGGCACAUCUUUCAGAAAAUUAAGCACAAUCUUGCAAAAUCAACAUGUUCCAUGCUUUUAUUUACGUUUCAUAUAUAUAUGCUCCUGCUUUUACAUUCUUUGACCCCAAAAAAAAAAUUAGGGAAAAAGGAGAAACAUAGUGAUCCAAGUGGGCGUGCAUGUAACAUUUGCCCAUAAUAAGACUGUUACGUGUACUCUGAAAGUCAAAAGUUAGGUUAUGGAGGAGAAUAUGUAUCUUAACAUUAUAUUCGACUUCGUUUGCUAACUUUAAUUGACUUCGCCGACGUACGGUAUAUACAUAUGUAUAUCUCAUAUUACAAUAUGCCCCCCUUCAAAAUUCCAUAUCUUCUGUUAAGCAGAUAAAUAAUAAAUGCAAUGCAUUAAUAAUAAUAACCAAAAAAAUUGUUAUAAAUCAUUAUGUGGAUGGCCCAUAACCAAGACCAAGACAAGGCCUAACCGUGUCCAAGAGGAGAGAGAGUCGGCGGCUGAGGAGAGAGAGUCGGCCUAUCCUUUGGCCGACCUUAGAUCUAGGAUGUUUCCAUUUAUCUGUUUUAGAUCUUUUCCUAUUUCAUGUUGUAUUAGGUUUUGGAUAAUUUACUUUUUCCUAUACUUUGUAAUCCUUAUAUAAGGAACAUCUAUUACUCAUUAAUAAUACACAUACAAUUCUUCAUUUUUUUACAACACGUUAUAAGCACGAUCGUCUCUAGAUCCCUGAGACAAAUCGAAACCUCUAACCCUAAAAGCCAAAACCGGCGACCACAAACCAAAACCCUAAUCUCGUUCUAAGUUCAAUCAAGAACUCAGAAGAUCCCUCUUGAAUACCAUACAUUCUCAGAUCACGUUUUCAGCUCAGAAGAACCGUCCAGCUCGCAUCCACACCCGAGACGCGAUCGCACACGACCCGCGUCCGAGAGACUCGCACCCGAGGCAGCCGGCGAUCGUCCUCAGCUCGCGUCUGCUCCCAUCCGCGACCCGAUUGCAUCCGUUCGUCCUCUCUCUCUCUCUAAAGGUGGUCCGGUUCUAAAUCCCCUACAAACAAAGGUAAAACUUAAUCUGAGAACCUAGAUUGAUCAGAAACCCUAAUCCAUAAUUAUGGAAACUUUGAUCUUGAUUAAAACCCUAAAACCUACAAGAUUAAAAUCGGCAAUCUCCUAACUAGAAAAAUAGAAAUCGAUUCCUUAGAACUUGAAUUGAUUGUUCUUGAUUUGAUUUUGAGAAACCCUAAUUUAGGAAUCGAAACCCUAAACCCUAAAGAGUUGAAUUUGAUUUUUAAUUGAUUGAAUGCUUGAUGUUUGAGGUUUUAGGAUUGUUAGAUUGAUUGAAGUAAUCUGAUCUAGGACUUGAAUCCUAAAGGCCUUGAAACCUUAAUCUUGAAAUUGAAUCCUUCUAGUGUUCAAAUCGGAAACCCUAGGAUUGUUUUGCAUACAUAUGAAUCUGAAUUGAAUUGCAUUCAUACUGUUUAAUAAAAUCGACCAGCAUGUAGAAAUAUAAUGAAUUCGAAUCUGAUUGCAUUGAAAUUCAUAUGGCCGUGUGGCCUUAAUCUCUCUGGUACAUAUAGAAUCAAAUAUUAGGAUUGUUCGCACCAUGGUCAAAUUAGUUUUACAUGUCCGAUCCUAUUGCUUGUUAACCUAGCCGUGCGGCUUGAUUGUUCGCACCAUGGUCGAUUAGAUUGAUUGUUUUCUCAUAGAUGCGUAAGACAAGUUUGUGGCCGAGCUUGUUAUACCAUGCGGCCACAAGAUCACAUUGUGAACCUAAAUUGAAAUGAUGAUGUGAUUCAGAUGUCGAAAAUCUCAAAUAGAGACUACGCAGCCCUUAAUCUCUCCGAAGAUAACUACUUACAGUGGGCGCUAGAUACAAAGAUCAGCUUAAGGUCAAAAGGUCUUGGUGAUACAAUCAUCAAGGACAACAAUGAGACUGACAAGAAUCGGUACAGGGCUAUAAGUAUUAUACGCCAUCACCUCAUUGAAGGUCUAAAAGAUCAGUACAUUACGAUGGAAAAUCCACUAGAGCUUUGGGAUGCUUUCCAGCAUAGAUAUGAUCACUAGAAAACAGUGUUACUCCCAAAAGCUAGAAAUGACUGGAAGAAUCUAAGAUUCAUGGAAUAUAAGUCAGUGGAUGAGUACAAUUCGGUCUUGUUCAAGACGUUCUCCAUGCUGAGACUCUGUGGUGAAGUAGUAACCGAAGAAGAGUUACUCGAGAAAACAUUCUCUACGUUUCAUUCCUCAAACAUAAUCCUGCAGCAGCAAUACCGAAUGAAAGGCUUUGCCACAUACACUGAUCUGAUCUCGUGCCUGCUCCUGGCCGAGGCAAAUAAUGAGCUCCUAACGAAGAACAGUGAAGCUAGACCUGUCGGAUCUGCCCCAUUACCAGAGGCCAAUGAAGUUGAAAAGAAAAAUCCCAACGAGUGCAAUUUCAUCCAGAAUGAUAAGAGAUCACAUGGCAAAGGUCGUGGUGGAUACAGGAACCGUGACAAUUACUCGAACGGUCGAGAUAAGUACUUGGCCGGCCGGAAAGGAAACCACAAUAACCGUGGUCGUGGUUCCAAUCCCGGCCGUGGCCAAGGCGGAUAUGGACGAGGUCAAGGCGGUAUAUCCAAACCGUCUUACUCAACCAAAUCCGUUUGUCACAGAUGUGGGAUGAGCAACCAUUGGGCCAAGAAUUGUAGAACUCCUAAGCACUUAUGUGAGCUCUACCAAGAGAGUCUUAAGGACAAGAACCCGGAGGCUCAUAUGGUCCAUGAUUCCGGAUAUGAGGCUGAUAAAGAAUCAGAUGUUGCAAAUGACGACCUAAGAAGAGCACUUUGGUGCCUUCUUAGAUCGUUUCGAGCUUCUUCCUUUCCCCCCGCCGCCUCCGCCCGCCGCUAAACAAACCCUCUCCGGUCUCACCUUCUCCAUCUCCGACGCGU